Zonotrichia albicollis (white-throated sparrow) is the source of this 2953-nucleotide long non-coding RNA. The record is from Ensembl. NCBI's taxonomy places the organism in Eukaryota, Metazoa, Chordata, Aves, Passeriformes, Passerellidae.
GUAGCUUUGUGUCUAUGGAAGUCCCUUGGAUGGAUCCCAGACCGACCCAUGGAUCCCAUGACCUUUCCUUGCCUGUGACUGUUGGUGACCCCUCUGAUGUCUGCGCUGCCUGCGCUGUGGCUGCCCUCAGUUCCUGCCUCAUUCCUUGCUUGGUGCACCUCCAGGUUUGCUCCCUGACAGCAGCAGCCGAAAUUUGGGCAGGCUUUGCCCAUGUACCCCUUGAGCAGCUGGACUGCGCUGUGUCCAUGCCCCUCACUCCCAUCCCUAGACCUGUGACUGAGUGCGGGCAGUCUGGCCCUGUUUCUUUCUCCCAUCCCGAGCCCCGGUGCUGCAAUGUUGCCUGAAGCGGGGUGCUGGGGGAGAACCGAGGGGGAUCAGGAGCUGCGCUCACCCUCCUGGAACCGGGAGGGAGGGUGCUGUUCCUGUUGACAACGGGGUUCGCUCCGAGCAGAAGGGAGGCGGUGGGAGGCCGGGCCGGGCCGGGCCGGGCGGUGCAGCCCGGGAAGCGGGGGAAGCGGUUCCCGGCCGGGGCUCUCCCUCACCUGCCCCCGGCUCUGCAGGGAAGGGCAGGGGGCGCUUCGCCCCCCGCCUACGCCGGCUCUUUCUGCCGCUCGCCGCUCGCCGUAGCCGGGGGAGAGCUAGGUUAUGCCAUUGGCCUUUUAAGAGAAGCAGCUGCCUCACUGCUCCAGUGCCAGGUUCAUCACAGUGCUGUCCAUAUCCUCAGCCAUGGUGACCACUCAGAUCCUCCUGCACUGGAGCACUGCUGUGUGCACUCAUGGGAUGCCAGGUCAUUCCCGCUCUGAUCCCUUCUUGCAUCUUCCAUUUCUCCGUGUGACAGUGAUGGUUCCAGACAGCAUGGGACUGCCAGCUUUUUGUAACAUGACCAGCAACAGGUACUGCAGGAUACUGCUGCAGCUUCCUAGUCCUAGUACUACCCUCACAGAUACCAAGUGGCAUCCAUCAGGAUCUGAAUGUUCCUGUGUUGGGCAGCUGAGAAGAGAUGGCAGUGGAAGCCAGAGGUGGCCUCUCUCCAGUUUCAUAAGUACUGAUGACCACAUUUUCUUCCUGUGUCUGUUGAAGGCAAUGACCACUAUAUCUGCUCCAAAACAGCUCCCCAUGGACAGAUACAGGGAGCUUCUAAUGACAAAGAGGAAUUUGAUGUUCAUACACAAUAUGCUGGCAUGUAAACCCACCAAGGAUGACCAGAAGAAAUGGUACCUGACUGUCUUCAUAAAUUUCCUCAAGUGCCUGAAACGGCUAAGGGAAAAAAACAAACCAACUAAAGAAAGUUACAAAACUCCAGCAGCAAAAGUCUUCUUUGGAUGCAACUACUUGUUCUCUUAUCAAAGAGUGAACUGCAGGUGCCAGCUGUCAGCUGGAAAGACUUUGCUGUGGUGUGGUGUGGGGAUGGGAGCAAGUUGCAUUCCAGGGCUUCAGAAUUGGCUGAUCUGGACUCUCCACUUCAAAAUAUCUUAACUGUGCUUUUCAAUAUGCACACAAUGCUGUGAGCUAGAACAAAACGAUCUUGUUGUGUUACCAUAGAGACACCCAGGGUCUAGGAAGGGUUCCUGCUUGAAAUCUUACUGUUAAAGGGACAAGGGCUGUUAAAAUUUGAUGAAGGGCUUAAUCCUUGACCAGGCACUGGUAUAAAUCAGUGCCACCAGGGUGAAACGAACUGGCAGUCCCAAUGCAGUGCUUUACAGACAACACCCUCCAGUCCAACUGGCCCAAAAGGGGCUGUUGUCUUGGUAGACUCAGAGAAAAAAAGAUAAAAAUAAUAGAGGUGGAGGGAGCAGGGGAAAGGUCUGGGAAAUUAACUUGGAAAUGUUGAAUCACUUUAUGCUUUUCCUUCAUUUUCCCCCUUCUUGUUUUGAUUUGAGUUCUAAUUAAAAGGCUUUCCUUUGCACUUAGACAACUCAACUUUGCUUUUUAAGCAUACAUUUUUUAAGCACCACUAAAUGAAGGCAGGCAUAAGGGAAGGUGCAGGGCUGACAACUCUGCUCUGGAGACUGAAGUCCUGCAUUCACAAUUAAAGGCAAGUAGUUGGACUAUAGCUGCUUUCCUGUGUUGUCCUGGAGAAAACAAGAUGUGGACUGAGAGGACACUACCUUCCAUGACCCUGUAGAGUUUUUAGUGUUGGUGCUGUAGUUGCCAGUUAUAAUGACCAUUUUGUGUGGUGUAGGGAGGAGAAAAUGCCUUGCUAUGUACAUAAAGGGAAGAAAAGCUGGUUGUGAGUAGACUCAGCAAAAAACCUUCAGGCAUUUUUGUUUACUUGGGACCACAGUGUCUGGGCUGCUUAUAUGAGCCUCAAAGUGGUGCUUAAGAGUCCUACUUGCCAACUUAUUUAAAAACUCUAGUGCAAAAUGGAGAGAGACUCUUUACUCUGACCCAUGUUAGUUAAUUGAUUUUGACCCUGGAGUUAAAAUCCCCAAAUGAGCAUUAGAAAGAGCAUUGGUGAACAUGUCUUGAAAAUUCCAUUUUUGUCAUUGUCUGACAGUGGUGGGAGGUGCAGAUCUGCCUUAUGUUAUACAUGAAGCUAUUUUCUAACUCUCCAACAGUGUCUGUUGAUUCAGUUCCAUAAGACAUCCUGGCUCUUAGGUCUGGUGAGGGCAGAGUUUAAUCCUUCCUGCUGUCCUUAAGUCAGCUCUGAUGACUUCUUCCUCUGGCUUAAAUCCUGGCUCUGAUGGACUCACCUGAUGACUGUUUCAUUAUGUAGAGAAUGGUAGGGUCUCUAGGAGAAGAGAAGUUCUGCUCUUUGUCUUUUUGCUGUGAAACAAAUCCUUUCUGGCCCAGGCAAACGUGAAUUAUGUACACCCUGCCUUGCAUAGGCAUCCAUGUCCUAUUGUGCCAAUGCAGGAUGUUCAGCAGAGCUAAAUUUGUGCACAUCCAGGACACUAUUAACUCUUCAGGUGCUCUAUACUCUCAAUAAAUACUGUGUGACCCAUGGCUAGCA